Long non-coding RNA from Canis lupus familiaris (dog), 1099 nucleotides. RefSeq lists it as uncharacterized. The transcript has 3 exons. NCBI's taxonomy places the organism in Eukaryota, Metazoa, Chordata, Mammalia, Carnivora, Canidae. The record is from RefSeq and is a predicted model, not a curated record.
GUAGGAAAGAGGGGUGGGCAACAGGAGCUGCGGCUUCUUGUGCCUUAGGGUUCCCUAACCCAGAGCCUUUGGCUCCCUGAGGAUGGCGGUGAGGGAGGACAGGCGCAGGACCCCAGGGACUCCCAGGUCCUCAGGAAGGGAACUGCGAGGCUCCUGAAAACCAGCUCUGUCCUGCUGCUUAAGGCAAGAGCGUCCAGUGGUGUGGGAGCCACACGGAUCGGCCUGGGACACACGGGCCCCCCGGCUGCUGGCCUGGCUCCCCAGCUCUCAGGACAGCAUGCUGCAGUGGGGUCAGCAAGCUUCUGCAAGCCCUGCAGCCCCAGCUCCCGAAGUGGAGAAACCCCGCGGAGUCGGUCCUUCUCAAUGCCAGAACCGUCCGGAAAGGAGAAGCGGAGUGAGGUGAGGAGACUGGACUGCGUCCUCCCGCCAGGUGCAGGCCACAGGCCGCCCCCUUGCCCUGCGCCCCGCUGUCCUCCUCCCAUCCCGGCAGCUGACAGCCCGGCCUUGCUCACCACCUAGGAGCACCCAUGACCAGCCCUGGCUGCACUCGGGCCUCCGCCUCCCUGAUCUGGGAGUCCUGGUUGGUCCUGGAAGGCACCCUGCAGACGGCCCCCUGACAUAGCCUCUCGUGGUCUAGCUCGCCCCAGGCCAGUAGUCUCCAGGUCACGUGCCCGUCGCAGUGAGGGGCAGGGGGCCUCCAGCGGCCUGUCUGGGAGACCCCACCUGCAGGGACCGUGCUGUGGCCCAUGGGUGACGCUUUCUGGGGGAUCUUGGUCCCUCUGCUGCCCUAAUACUCAGGCUCGCACCUUCCCUCCCUGACCCCCCCCCCCACCCCACUCCCAUCUCUGCCUCUGCCCCUCCUGACUCCGGGGUGUCAUAUGGACACGAGGCAGAGGCAUCCUUCAGGGUGCGACUGUCCCGGCGCAUCUGCACCGAAUCACCACCGGCUAGCUGGCUGCUGGGCAGCAGGGAGCAGUCGUUCCAUCUUCCUUGACCAGAGGGAGGCUUCCAGGGCAUUGAGAGGGGCGGUGGCUUAUGGGAUGCUGGCGUGCUCAACGCUGGGCAUCGAACAGUCCAGCCCCUCAAAUCCCCUUUUCAU